Molecule: ribosomal RNA, 744 nt
Filed under: uncultured Gammaproteobacteria bacterium
Lineage: Bacteria; Pseudomonadati; Pseudomonadota; Gammaproteobacteria
Description: bacterial SSU rRNA
Rfam family: Bacterial small subunit ribosomal RNA
Source: RNAcentral
GNGGGGAUAUUGCACAAUGAGGGAAAUCUUGAUGCAGCCAUGCCGCGUGUGUGAAGAAGGCCCGAGGGUUGUAAAGCACUUUCAGUGGUGAAGAAAGGUAUUUGAUUAAUAAUCAAGUACUGUGACAUUAACCACAGAAGAAGCACCGGCUAACUCUGUGCCAGCAGCCGCGGUAAUACAGAGGGUGCAAGCNGUUAUUCGGAAUUACUUGGGCGUAAAGCGCGCGUAGGCGGACUGUUAAGUCGGUUGUGAAAGCCCUGGGCUCAACCUAGGAAUUGCAUCCGAUACUGGCAGUCUAGAGUUUAAGAGAGGCAAGGGGAAUUCCAGGUGUAGCAGUGAAAUGCGUAGAUAUCUGGAGGAACAUCAGUGGCGAAGGCGCCUUGCUGGCUUAAAACUGACGCUGAGGUGCGAAAGCGUGGGUAGCGAACGGGAUUAGAUACCCCGGUAGUCCAUGCCGUAAACGAUGUCAACUAGCUGUUGGUCUUAUUAAAAAGAUUAGUAGCGCAGCUAACGCGAUAAGUUGACCGCCUGGGGAGUACGGUCGCAAGAUUAAAACUCAAAGGAAUUGACGGGGGCCCGCACAAGCGGUGGAGCAUGUGGUUUAAUUCGAUGCAACGCGAAGAACCUUACCAUUCCUUUGACAUNCUGCGAACUUUNUAGAGAUAGAUUGGUGCCUUCGGGAACGCAGUGACAGGUGCUGCAUGGCUGUCGUCAGCUCGUGUCGNGAGAUGUUGGGUUAAGUNC